CCUACGGGAGGCUGCAGUGAGGAAUAUUGGUCAAUGGGCGAGAGCCUGAACCAGCCAAGUCGCGUGAAGGAUGAAGGAUCUAUGGUUUGUAAACUUCUUUUGUGCGGGAGCAAUAAUGGUCACGUGUGGCCAGACGAGAGUACCGUACGAAUAAGCAUCGGCUAACUCCGUGCCAGCAGCCGCGGUAAUACGGGGGAUGCAAGCGUUAUCCGGAUUUAUUGGGUUUAAAGGGAGCGUAGAUGGGUUGUUAAGUCAGUUGUGAAAGUUUGCGGCUCAACCGUAAAAUUGCAAUUGAUACUGGCAGUCUUGAGUACAGUUGAGGUAGGCGGAAUUCGUGGUGUAGCGGUGAAAUGCUUAGAUAUCACGAAGAACUCCGAUUGCGAAGGCAGCUUACUAAACUGCCACUGACAUUGAUGCUCGAAAGUGUGGGUAUCAAACAGGAUUAGAUACCCUUGUAGUC
RNAcentral lists this ribosomal RNA (460 nucleotides) under uncultured bacterium. RNAcentral describes it as "partial 16S ribosomal RNA". It matches the Rfam family "Bacterial small subunit ribosomal RNA", at positions 338 to 795 of the family's 1533-position model. The record is from RNAcentral.